Molecule: small nuclear RNA, 104 nt
Organism: Grammomys surdaster
Lineage: Eukaryota; Metazoa; Chordata; Mammalia; Rodentia; Muridae
Source: RefSeq, a predicted model, not a curated record
UCAUUUUGGCAGUGCACAUAUUAAAAUUGGAGUGAUACAAAUAAGGUUAGCAUGACCCCUGCACAAGGAGGACAAAGAUAAUUCACGAAGCAUUCCACAUUUUG